RNAcentral lists this ribosomal RNA (492 nucleotides) under uncultured bacterium. Its description in RNAcentral is "partial 16S ribosomal RNA". It matches the Rfam family "Bacterial small subunit ribosomal RNA", at positions 29 to 507 of the family's 1533-position model. The record is from RNAcentral.
AGUGAACGCUGGCGGUAUGCCUAACACAUGCAAGUCGAACGGCAGCACAGUAAGAGCUUGCUCUUACAGGUGGCGAGUGGCGUACGGGGUAGGAAUACAGCGGAAUCUACUUUUUCGUGGGGGAUAACGUAGGGAAACUUACGCUAAUACCGCAUACGACCUGCGGGUGAAAGCAGGGGAUCUUCGGACCUUGCGCGAUUGAAUGAGCCGAUGUCGGAUUAGCUAGGUGGCGGGGUAAAGGCCCACCAAGGCGACGAGCCGUAGCUGGUCUGAGAGGAUGUUAGGCGAAACUGGAAGUGAGACAGGGUCCAGACUCCUACGGGAGGCCGCAGUGGGGAAUAUUGGACAAUGGGCGCAAGCCUGAUCCAGCCAUACCGAGUGGGUGAAGAAGGCCUUCGGGUUGUAAAGACCUUUUGUUGGGAAAGAAAAGCAGCAGGUUAAUACCCCGCUGUUCUGACGGUACCCAAAGAAUAAGCACCGGCUAACUUCGUG